AACGUCUGACACAGGUGGCUGCAUGGCUGUCGUCAGCUCGUGUCGUGAGAUGUUGGGUUAAGUCCCGUAACGAGCGCAACCCUUGUCCUUAGUUACCAGCACGUUAUGGUGGGCACUCUAAGGAGGACUGCCGGUGGACAAACCGGAGGAAGGUGGGGAGUGACGUCAAGUCAUCAUGGCCCUUACCAGCCUGGGCUACACACGUGCUACAAUGGUCGGUACAAAGGGUUGCCAAGCCGCGAGGUGGAGCUAAUCCCAUAAAACCGAUCGUAGUCCGGAUCGCAGUCUGCAACUCGACUGCGUGAAGUCGGAAUCGCUAGUAAUCGUGAAUCAGAAUGUCACGGUGAAUACGUUCCCGGGCCUU
RNAcentral lists this ribosomal RNA (364 nucleotides) under uncultured Pseudomonas sp. Its description in RNAcentral is "bacterial SSU rRNA". It matches the Rfam family "Bacterial small subunit ribosomal RNA", at positions 1024 to 1382 of the family's 1533-position model. Lineage: Bacteria; Pseudomonadati; Pseudomonadota; Gammaproteobacteria; Pseudomonadales; Pseudomonadaceae. The record is from RNAcentral.